RNAcentral lists this ribosomal RNA (2913 nucleotides) under Fodinibius salipaludis. RNAcentral's name for it is "bacterial LSU rRNA". It matches the Rfam family "Bacterial large subunit ribosomal RNA". The record is from RNAcentral. Lineage: Bacteria; Pseudomonadati; Balneolota; Balneolia; Balneolales; Balneolaceae.
AUAAGUGAAAGCAGAAAAGGGCGUAUGGUGGAUGCCUAGGCAUAACCAGGCGAAGAAGGACGUGUAAAGCUGCGAAAAGCUGCGGGGAGCUGCACAAGAGCUCAGAUCCGCAGGUAUCCGAAUGGGGAAACCCAUCUGCUUUCGGGCAGAUAUCCGUUUAGGAAGCCAACGGGGGGAACUGAAACAUCUAAGUACCCCUAGGAAGAGAAAACAAUUCAGUGAUUCCGCAAGUAGUGGCGAGCGAACGCGGAACAGCCCAAACCCUGCUGCUACGGCGGCAGGGGGUUGUAGGGCCCACAUCAGCCAAUCCAAGCGAAGACGAAGCGGACUGGAAAGCCGCCCCACAGAAGGUGACAGGCCUGUAGACGUAAGCAAGGUGCGGUGGUGGGAUCCCCUGAGUAGGACGGGACCGGAGAAAUCCUGUCUGAACCAGCCGGCACCAUCCGGCAAGGCUAAAUACUGGUUAUGACCGAUAGUGAACAAGUACCGUGAGGGAAAGGUGAAAAGAACGCCGAGAAGGCGAGUGAAAUAGUACCUGAAACCAUACGCUUACAAGCGGUCGGAGUCCCGAUUUAUCGGGAUGACGGCGUGCCUUUUGCAUAAUGAGCCUACAAGUUGCACCUGUCGUGCAAGGUUAAUCUCCUCAGGAGAGCAGCCGAAGCGAAAGCGAGUCCGAAUAGGGCGAAAGUACGGCGGGGCAGACGCGAAACCGAGUGAGCUAUCUAUGGCCAGGAUGAAGCGUGGGUAAGACCACGUGGAGGUCCGAACCGACGGGCGUUGAAAAGCCCCCGGAUGAGCUGUGGAUAGGGGUGAAAGGCCAAUCAAACUCGGAAAUAGCUCGUUCUCCUCGAAAUAUAUUUAGGUAUAGCAUCUGGCGUGUAGCAUGUCGGAGGUAGAGCACUGAUUAGACUAGGGGGCUUCACCGCCUACCAAAUCUAGACAAACUCCGAAUGCCGACGUGUGUUGCCAGGUAGUCAGCGUGGGGGCGAUAACGUCCUCCCGCAAGAGGGAAACAACCCAGACCACCAGCUAAGGCCCCUAAAUCCAAACUAAGUUGAACAAAGAAAGUUGGGUUGCCCAGACAACUAGGAGGUUGGCUUAGAAGCAGCCAUUCCUUGAAAGAGUGCGUAAUAGCUCACUAGUCGAGCGGCCCGGCGUCGAUAAUUCGCGGGCAUAAGUUUGGUGCCGAAGCUGUGGAUUGUCCCGAUUACUCGGGACAGUGGUAGAGGAGCAUUCCAGCGCCAUCGAAGUUGCCCUGUGAGGGGUGGUGGAGGUUCUGGAAGCGAAACUGUAGGCAUGAGUAACGAUAAGAGGGGUGAGAACCCCCUCCACCGAAAAUCUAAGGGUUCCUGAUCAACGCAAAUCGGAUCAGGGUUAGUCGAGACCUAAGGCGUAGCCGACAGGCGAAGCCGAUGGAAAACCGGUUAAAUAUUCCGGUACCGCUAUCUAGCUAUAGAUGAAGGCGUCACGCAGAAGUGACACCACCGCCUCGCGAUGGAAUGCGAGGUUAAAGGCAGUAGGCCGGUGGGUAGGCAAAUCCGCCCACCACCAAGGCCGAAAGCCGACAGUACGGGGAGCCUACGGGCAAACCGAUAGCGUGGGUAAUCUUGCUGCCAAGAAACCCGUCGUCAUCUGCUAGCAUAGCGCUCGUACCAAAACCGACACAGGUAGAUGAGGAGAGGAUCCUCAGGUGCUCGAGCGAAUCGUGGCUAAGGAACUCGGCAAAUUAGAUCCGUAACUUCGGGAGAAGGAUCCCCCCGGCCGGCUUCGGCUGGUUGGGGGCGCAGUGACCAGGUCCAAUCGACUGUUUACCAAAAACACAUGCCUCUGCUAAGUCGUAAGACGAUGUAUAGGGGCUGACACCUGCCCGGUGCUGGAAGGUUAAGGAAGGCUGUUAAUCGCUUCGGCGAUGAAGCGGCCCACUGAAGCCCCAGUAAACGGCGGCCGUAACUAUAACGGUCCUAAGGUAGCGAAAUUCCUUGUCGGGUAAGUUCCGACCUGCACGAAUGGUGCAACGAAUUGGACACUGUCUCAGCCACGAGCUCGGUGAAAUUGUGGUAUCGGUGAUGACGCCGAUUACCCGCAGCGGGACGGAAAGACCCCGUGAACCUUUACUACAACUUUACAUUGGCUUUAGCUGCCCGAUGUGCAGGAUAGGUGGGAGACUUCGAAGCGCCAGCGCCAGCUGGCGUGGAGUCGUCCGUGAAAUACCACCCUUUGGGCCGCUGAAUUCUAAUUCCCCACAGGGAAGACAGUGUAUGGUGGGUAGUUUGACUGGGGCGGUCGCCUCCUAAACAGUAACGGAGGCUCCCAAAGGUACCCUCAGCACGGUCGGCAAUCGUGCGUAGAGUGUAAAAGCAUAAGGGUGCUUGACUGCAAGACAUACAGGUCGAGCAGCUGCGAAAGCAGGGUUUAGUGAUCCGGCGGUUUUCCGAAUGGAAGGGCCGUCGCUCAAAGGAUAAAAGGUACUCCGGGGAUAACAGGCUUAUCUCCCCCAAGAGUUCACAUCGACGGGGAGGUUUGGCACCUCGAUGUCGGCUCAUCGCAUCCUGGGGCUGGAGAAGGUCCCAAGGGUAUGGCUGUUCGCCAUUUAAAGCGGUACGCGAGCUGGGUUCAGAACGUCGUGAGACAGUUCGGUCCCUAUCUGCUGUGGGCGUUGGAAUGUUGCGGAGAGCUGCUCCUAGUACGAGAGGACCGGAGUGGACGCACCGCUGGUGCACCUGUUGUCCGGCCACGGGCAUCGCAGGGUAGCUAUGUGCGGAAGUGAUAAGCCGCUGAAAGCAUCUAAGCGCGAAGCACGCUCCAAGAUAAACAUUCCCUUUACAGCCUUCUGGAAGACGACCAGAUCGAUAGGCGGCAGGUGUAAGCGUGGUAACACGUUCAGCCGAGCCGUACUAAUAAGGCUACCGGCUU